UGGAGCAAAUCCCUAAAAGCCAUCCCAGUUCGGAUCGCAGGCUGCAACCCGCCUGCGUGAAGUUGGAAUCGCUAGUAAUCGCGGAUCAGCAUGCCGCGGUGAAUACGUUCCCGGGCCUUGUACACACCGCCCGUCACACCAUGAGAGUCGGGAACACCCGAAGUCCGUAGCCUAACCGCAAGGGGGGCGCGGCCGAAGGUGGGUUCGAUAAUUGGGGUGAAGUCGUAACAAGGUACC
Molecule: ribosomal RNA, 237 nt
Filed under: uncultured bacterium
Lineage: Bacteria
Description: partial 16S ribosomal RNA
Rfam family: Bacterial small subunit ribosomal RNA
Source: RNAcentral